GGUCGAUUAGCUCAGUUGGUUAGAGCGCCGUACUAAUAUACCAUUCGGUUAUACAUGCGGAUGUCAUGGGUUCGACCCCCAUAUUGACCA
Molecule: transfer RNA, 90 nt
Filed under: Phakopsora pachyrhizi
Lineage: Eukaryota; Fungi; Basidiomycota; Pucciniomycetes; Pucciniales; Phakopsoraceae
Description: tRNA-Ile
Rfam family: tRNA
About the family: Transfer RNA (tRNA) molecules are approximately 80 nucleotides in length. Their secondary structure includes four short double-helical elements and three loops (D, anti-codon, and T loops).
Source: RNAcentral